Molecule: long non-coding RNA, 732 nt
Organism: Brachypodium distachyon (stiff brome)
Lineage: Eukaryota; Viridiplantae; Streptophyta; Magnoliopsida; Poales; Poaceae
Exons: 2
Source: RefSeq, a predicted model, not a curated record
CAUUGGGGAAGCCGCAAAUAGCAAUAGUUGCAACACCACUCACACCAAUGGCCGCGCCCCAGCACGCUCGCGAAGCCACGCGCCCACCGCGGUUGGAAACCCGCCGCAACAGUACCGCAGCAGCUGUACGUAGGGGAUCUGACACACCACCGAAUGGCCCGCCCCCACCACGCAGGGCCAACGCAGCGCCGCUGGGCAUAGCCCAUCACCGGAUCUGACACCACCUGCCCCGUAUCCAGCGACCACCGAGCUGACACCUCCGACACCACCACGGUUCUGACCAGCUAACCAUCGAGUUGACGCUGCCAACCACCGAGACGCUUGAAGACCCCCGCAACGAAGAAGUCCACGAAGGAGGCCCACCGCUGCCAUCAACCGCAUGGGCUUUGCCCGGCGGCGACUGCUGGCGAUGACCAUCGGCGGUGGAAGAGGGGAGGUGGGUGAAGAAAUUGCGGCGGCUGGUAGGGUUUUUUCGCCACCCGAGUCGCCCCUGGGAUGACGCGGGGGCCAGCACCGGGUACCGUACCAUCAACAAGCGAUCUUUCGUGUCUUCGGUGCAAGCAUAACUCGGCGAGUCACAUAAAGCAGUUGCAUCUUGAUUCUUUGAACGAUUUUGAUAUUUUCUGAAAACAACACUCCCCCCAUUGCAAAUAUAGGGCAUGCACAUUUUUCAACAUGUAACUUUGCCCAACGAUUUAUCCAGCGAAAAGUAUAUUUUUGGUCCCCCCCAAU